This 201-nucleotide non-coding RNA is filed under the name Deltaproteobacteria bacterium. RNAcentral's name for it is "6S RNA". It matches the Rfam family "6S / SsrS RNA". Rfam says of the family: E. coli 6S RNA was the first non coding RNA to be sequenced, but its function was unknown until recently. It consists of 184 nucleotides that fold into an extended hairpin structure with a large single-stranded internal bulge. The record is from RNAcentral. Lineage: Bacteria; Pseudomonadati; Myxococcota; Myxococcia.
AUUUCCCUGCCUUGUUCGCGAUUGGCACUUAUUUAUGAUUUAGAACCUAGCUGACGAGAACGGGAGUUUCCGCUCACGGUGGUGAGCAAGCCCUCCGGCCUUGAAGGCCGACGGGGGAAGCCUAAAGCCGUGAUUGAAGCGCCCCCCUUUAUAAAAAGGGUUCAAAUCUUUCAGCGCCACACGACGGAAGGCGGGGAGAAU